This 959-nucleotide unclassified non-coding RNA is filed under the name Bombus terrestris (buff-tailed bumblebee). Its description in RNAcentral is "misc RNA ENSBTSG00005036567.1". Lineage: Eukaryota; Metazoa; Arthropoda; Insecta; Hymenoptera; Apidae. The record is from RNAcentral.
UUUCCUUUUUGCAGAAAAGGCGUUGAUUUGCAUUUGUCCUCGAUUUGAUUUAUCUUUCUUCUCCGCUAUUUCAAUUUCAUUUUUUACAUACGCUACCAUUUGAUUUUCUUCUAUCAAUGCAUCUGUUAUAUCCGCUGCAACUGUAUUCUUCGGGUAAUGUAUUCAGCAUGUAAUUUAGUUUUUCCCUCUCACUCACUUGUGCGCCCGCACAUUUAAAUUCGUUUAUUAAUCCUUCGAAAUCGCUAAAGAACGAUGCUGAAUCACUAUAGUUCUCAAGUCUUAUCUUUUCCAAUCUCCUUCUGCAUACGAUCCGUAGUGCUGUCGACUCUUUCAAGUACAUUUCAUCAAACUUUUUUAUUAUCUCAUACGCCGUUUUUUCUUCUCUAAUAUACUCCAAUUCUCUAAUAUACUCUAUUUGUGAUGGCACUAUAAAUUAUAUUUGUCGGAUGCACAUCCCUUUUAUCCCAAUCUUCACUGUCUGUUUCGGUCUUCACUCUAGUUGUGACAAUCUCGCAUUCUUUAUACCUGAGAAACAUCGUUAUACUUUGCUUCCACAUACUGUAAUCCUCACCAUCGAAUACAGGUAUCAUGAUUUCCGAUCUCUCCAUUUUAAAUGAUUCCUUAUCUCUUACUCAAGCGUUCAUACGUGCUCUAAAUAUAUUGUUCCUCUUUGUAACCUUUGAACGUUUCUUCCCUUACUGAAAACUCACUCGAACUAACUUGCAAGAUUGAAAACCACGCACUAAAUAACUUGCAAAACUAUGAACCACGCUCUGCUACCAUGUAAAGAUAUAGGAGGGAUUCGGAAAUACAAAAAAUUUUCUUUAUUUAGCACACAACAGUUAUACAUAUAUCUUAUACUCUAAAGACCUUGAAAUCCUACUCGCAUGCACGCUUGUUGUCAACCGACUCUUCUAGAUACUUCUAACGACUGACUAUUGUCUUCUGUCCCAACUAAG